Molecule: ribosomal RNA, 253 nt
Filed under: uncultured prokaryote
Description: partial 16S ribosomal RNA
Rfam family: Bacterial small subunit ribosomal RNA
Source: RNAcentral
ACGGAGGGUGCAAGCGUUGCUCGGAAUUAUUGGGCGUAAAGGGUAGGUAGGUGGUGUCGCUUGUCUUGGGUGAAAUCCCUGGGCUUAACUCAGGAAGUGCCUUGGAAACGGCGACACUAGAGUACUGGAGAGGAUCGUGGAAUUCCCGGUGUAGCGGUGAAAUGCGUAGAGAUCGGGAGGAACACCAGAGGCGAAAGCGGCGAUCUGGACAGUUACUGACACUCAACUACGAAAGCGUGGGGAGCAAACAGGA